UCUCAAUGAUGAUUCAAUGUCAUGGUUUCGCAUUAGAAUGAAUCAAACUGAUUAAAACUUUCUCUUGGCUGUCUGAAGA
RNAcentral lists this small nucleolar RNA (79 nucleotides) under Belgica antarctica. Its description in RNAcentral is "small nucleolar RNA SNORD53/SNORD92". It matches the Rfam family "Small nucleolar RNA SNORD53/SNORD92". Rfam says of the family: U53 is a member of the C/D class of snoRNA which contain the C (UGAUGA) and D (CUGA) box motifs. Most of the members of the box C/D family function in directing site-specific 2'-O-methylation of substrate RNAs. The human orthologue HBII-316 (SNORD92) is predicted to guide the 2'O-ribose methylation of 28S rRNA A3846. Lineage: Eukaryota; Metazoa; Arthropoda; Insecta; Diptera; Chironomidae. The record is from RNAcentral.